CUAAGAACUAAUCACAACUCAGUCAGUGGAGGAAACGAGAGUGUUAAAAAAGAAGAAAACUUUCCGACGCUCAGCCAUCUGGAGCUCCAGGAAAAACACUUCCUUCUCAUCAGGAUGUCAGAGUCACAGACACGCCAGGCUCCAGCACCGUCCAAUCACAGCGCACUCCCUCACCAGAGUACUGAUCACACACACCUGCACCCAAUCAUCAUGCCAAUCAGCCAGCACAUAAAAGACACUCACACUCACUCACUUACUGUCCGGUCUUUUUUGCAUUAGGACUUAUCUCCAUGCUUACCUCAAGGACUACAUUGCUAUACUUACCCGUUUCCAAGUCUGUGUGUGAGUGACUUCUGUCUCCAGCUUGUCUCUCCCUCCACAUCUAAGAUCAUUGAGUCUACAAAGCACAAAGGACAAUAUCACUUCACCAUCACCCAUCAUUCACAUCAAGAUCAUUUGUUUCCUCACCUGUUUGCACCUAAUCCUCUGCUGUGUGUCAAUAAACAACCAUUACCUGUUA
This is a long non-coding RNA of Megalobrama amblycephala (Wuchang bream), 520 nucleotides long. RefSeq lists it as uncharacterized. Lineage: Eukaryota; Metazoa; Chordata; Actinopteri; Cypriniformes; Xenocyprididae. The transcript has 2 exons. The record is from RefSeq and is a predicted model, not a curated record.